Molecule: ribosomal RNA, 497 nt
Filed under: uncultured bacterium
Lineage: Bacteria
Description: partial 16S ribosomal RNA
Rfam family: Bacterial small subunit ribosomal RNA
Source: RNAcentral
GAUGAACGCUGGCGGCGUGCCUAAUACAUGCAAGUCGAGCGAACAGAUAAGGAGCUUGCUCCUUUGACGUUAGCGGCGGACGGGUGAGUAACACGUGGGUAACCUACCUAUAAGACUGGGAUAACUUCGGGAAACCGGAGCUAAUACCGGAUAACAUUUGGAACCGCAUGGUUCUAAAGUGAAAGAUGGUUUUGCUAUCACUUAUAGAUGGACCCGCGCCGUAUUAGCUAGUUGGUAAGGUAACGGCUUACCAAGGCGACGAUACGUAGCCGACCUGAGAGGGGGGUAGCCCACCUGGGAAGUGGACCACGCACAUGACUCCUACGGUAGGCCGCAGUAUGGUAUGUUCCGCAGUGGGCGAAAACCUGGCGGAGCAGCGCCGCGUGAGUGAUGGAGGGUUCCGGCUCGUAAAACUCUGUUACUAGUGAAGAACAAAUGUGUAAGUAGCUGUGCACGUCUUGACGGUACCUAAUCAGAAAGCCACGGCUAACUACGUG